CUAGGAGAACCGAAAACAGUUCUAGACUGACCUGCGGUUUUAUUGCACUUUGGCAGUCAACUUCAGCUUGUGUCAGAGCAGACAUGACAGAGCUGCCCGGCGCUUAAUCGCGGGACACCACCUCCUCGGACGCUCUGCAGCUCCCCUCUUACUUUUCAAUAAAUUUCAGACCUUGGGUCUAGAAAAGGGGAGCUGAGCUG
Molecule: non-coding RNA, 200 nt
Organism: Colius striatus (speckled mousebird)
Lineage: Eukaryota; Metazoa; Chordata; Aves; Coliiformes; Coliidae
Source: Rfam